This 429-nucleotide ribosomal RNA is filed under the name Fusobacteriota bacterium. RNAcentral describes it as "Fusobacteria bacterium partial 16S ribosomal RNA". It matches the Rfam family "Bacterial small subunit ribosomal RNA", at positions 355 to 776 of the family's 1533-position model. The record is from RNAcentral. Lineage: Bacteria; Fusobacteriati; Fusobacteriota.
UGGGGAAUAUUGCGCAAUGGGCGAAAGCCUGACGCAGCGACGCCGCGUGAGGGAUGAAGGUUUUCGGAUCGUAAACCUCUGUCAGAAGGGAAGAAACCGCACUGUGCUAAUCAGCAGUGCCUUGACGGUACCUUCAAAGGAAGCACCGGCUAACUCCGUGCCAGCAGCCGCGGUAAUACGGAGGGUGCAAGCGUUAAUCGGAAUUACUGGGCGUAAAGCGCACGUAGGCUGCUUUGUAAGUCAGGGGUGAAAUCCCACGGCUCAACCGUGGAUCUGCCUUUGAUACUGCUUAGCUUGAAUCCGGGAGAGGGUGGCGGAAUUCCAGGUGUAGGAGUGAAAUCCGUAGAUAUCUGGAGGAACAUCAGUGGCGAAGGCGGCCACCUGGACCGGUAUUGACGCUGAGGUGCGAAAGCGUGGGGAGCAAACAGG